Non-coding RNA from Camelina sativa (false flax), 1882 nucleotides. The record is from RefSeq and is a predicted model, not a curated record. NCBI's taxonomy places the organism in Eukaryota, Viridiplantae, Streptophyta, Magnoliopsida, Brassicales, Brassicaceae.
UAAAAAAAAAAAUUGAAUCAACAUCAUUGAUCGGAUUAAUCUGAUAAUCUCUGAGGCAAUGAUCUUUUCAGUUCGGAAUCCCAGUAAAAACUCCAUCAGCAGAUUUAUCCGAAAAUCAGUCUUUUUUUAAUUCUCUGAUUACACAAAAUUGAUCGGAAUAAUCCGAUAAUCUGUCUUGUUGUAAUUCUCAGAUUUCGACAUCAAUGGAUAAAUUAGGUGUGGAUUCCAAACGUAUUCGAUCGAAUAUGGGUCUUCUUUACCAGGAAAACAAAUAAAAGAAGCCUAAAUGAAAGAUAAGGAUCCAGAACCCCUUUCAAUUCUGUCUUUACAUCUAUUCUGUUGAAUUCGAAACUCUAAUGUUAACCGUUUAAUUUUGACAAGUUUAAUUUCUUCGAAAUAGGCGCUCAUUGGAAUUGCAUAAAUUGGAUUAAAGAAGGACUAUGAACAUACUGGUGUAUUGAAAGAAAGUCAAUGGUUAAACUACCCUAUAAAAUCUGAAGUGGAGCAAAAUACAAAUCUCUACACAAUCAUAAUAUAAUAGGCGUGAAUUUAGAUGUGGAUUAAGGUGGGAAAGAGAUCAAUUUCGGAUCUACAAUAUGACAGGUAUUCAAAACUUAGUUGAAGAUGAGGCAUGCAUAUCGUCCGCUCUUCAAAAUACAGGAAAGUUUGUGAUGUCUCUGAAAACCAUCGUUGGCGUUAAUUGUUUCUGUCUUUUCUUCAUUCUCAGGCAUCCAUCUAGUUAGAAUAGUCUCUUAUUAAUGGUGAAGUAUUUCCAAAAUUUUCAAUGAUUUUGAAAAUAAGAAUUUCUGGACUAAAGAUUGGCGUACCUGUUGAUUUUUUUUUUGUGGUGACUCUUUGAGCAGUCUCUGAUAUUGUGUUGUUACAUAUUAUUGGAACAGGUGAUAAAGAAGCAUCUUCUCCACUUGUACAAUCAUUUUUUUUUGUGUCCGGUUUUGGGUUGUAUUUUUUAAAGGAACUCAUUUUAGUUGUUUUAGUGAUAGCAUGCAUUUGUAAAAACUAUUAGAAAUAAUGUUUACUCACUUUGUAUAGUUUUUGUCCUUAGAUGAUGAAUGAAGUUGGGUGAUCCAAGUUCAGCAUACGAUUGGCGUAUUGGGACUGCUGACAUAUUUGAGCUUGAUUGAAUCUUCUUGGGGUUCGGAUGAGUAACAUUGUUUUAAACUAACAGGAACCCAAUCUGCUCCAUCAGGAUCAGCUGAUCCGAAGGCUUCAGAAUCUACUACCCUCCUUGUGGCGGUUAACUUUGAACAUUUUCGCUUUGAUGAGGGACCCAUCUGUCGAACGCAAUUUUAGCGUCUAUAAGUUUUCCAGGCUUCAAAAAACUGCUCUGCAAAGGAUCCCCAAAGAGUACAGGGAAGUCUGUCAUCCCUAUUACGAUAUUAAAAGACAGGUAGAUGAAGAAAAGGUUGCAGUUUAACUUACAUGUACAUCUGCGAGGACCAUGUCAAAGGUCUCUCCAAAAGCGGUGGUUUAAGUUUUCCAAGAGUGAAGGACUCGGACUUGCACUAUUCAGGAUGUCUUGUAGGGCUUGACAUCAUGGAGGAUUUGUUCAUCUACUACAGGCCCAACAUGGAUAACAAAACAAUAAAACAAUAGUGAGGCCCAACAUAAUAUCAAGAUCCAAUCAGUUGGAUAGGCAAUCGAGUUAUAAGGUGGGCAAUCGAAUAAACACGCGGACCCUACUCUCAAAAUCGAAUCUGUGAUUUUUUAUGUCAAUUUUGUCCUUCUCAAUUUCAAUUAAGUGUCUCUUUUAGUAAUAAUUGAGUGGCAAUUUGAGUAAAUACAUUAGGGAUUUUGGACAUUCUCCAAUUUGUACUUCUCUUAUAAUUCUUUUAAUAAUUAUAAGAAGAUGGAUAUUUUAAUG